UACGAAGGGGGCUAGCGUUGUUCGGAAUUACUGGGCGUAAAGCGCACGUAGGCGGAUCGAUCAGUCAGGGGUGAAAUCCCAGAGCUCAACUCUGGAACUGCCUUUGAUACUGUCGAUCUAGAGUAUGGAAGAGGUGAGUGGAAUUCCGAGUGUAGAGGUGAAAUUCGUAGAUAUUCGGAAGAACACCAGUGGCGAAGGCGGCUCACUGGACCGGCAUUGACGCUGAGGUGCGAAAGCGUGGGGAGCAAACAGG
Molecule: ribosomal RNA, 253 nt
Filed under: uncultured bacterium
Lineage: Bacteria
Description: partial 16S ribosomal RNA
Rfam family: Bacterial small subunit ribosomal RNA
Source: RNAcentral